UGGAGUGCUGCAGAGAUGAUUGUCCUCCCAUCUCCACAGAGGAACUCUGACAGAGUGACCAUCAGGUUCUUGGUCACCUCCCUGACCAAGGCCCUUCUCCGAUUGCUCAGUUUGGCCGGGCAGCCAGCUCAAGGAAUGAUGAAUUCCACUUAGAUGGUGGGGACCUUCAAUGCUGCAGAAAUGUUUCAGUACCCUUCCCCAGAUCUGUGCCUCGACACAAUCUUGUCUCGGAGCUCUACGGACAAUUCCUUCGACCUCGUGGCUUAGUUUUUGACAUGCACUGUCAACUGUGGGACCUUAUAUAGACGUGUGUGCCUUUCCAAAUCAUGUCCAAUCAAUUGAAUUUACCACAUGUGGACUCCAAUCACGUUGUAGAAACAUCUCAAGGACGAUCAAUGGAAACAGGACGCACCUGAGCUCAAUGUUGAGUCUCAUAGCAAAGGGUCUGAAUACUUGUGUAAAUAAGGUAAUUCUGUUUUUUUUUAUGUGCAAAAAUGUCUAAAAUCUGUUUUUUGCUUUGUCAUUAUGGGCUAUUGUGUGUAGAUUGAUAAUUCGUUCAAAUAUUGAAUCCAUCUGAGAAUAAGGCUGUAACGUAACAAAAUGUGGAAAAAGUCAAGGGUCUGAAUACUUUCCGAAUGCAGUGUAUAUCACCCAGCCCUAUAAUGCAGUCAAGAUGCUCUCAAUGGUGCAGCUGUUUAACUUUGAGGAUCUGAGGGCCCAUGUCAAAUCUUUUCAGCCUCCUGAGGGGGAAGGCUUUGUUUUGCCCUCUUGACAUCUGUGUUGGUGUAUGGGUACCGUGAUCAAUCCUUAGUGAUGUGGACACCGUGGAACUUUAAGCUCUCGACCUGCUCCACUACAGCUUGUCGACGUGAAUGAGGGCGUGCUCGGCCCUACGUUUUCUGUAGUCCAUGAUUAGCUCCUUUGUCUUGCUGACGUUGAGGGAGAGAAUCAUUAGCUGAAGCAGAAGAAACAGACUGUGGUCAAGAGCGCCAAGAAGGGGGUUCACACUGGACCUGACCCACCCUGUGGAGUACAGUAUCCUGGACUCUGCCAACUUCGGUUCCCUUCCCUAGUCACUGCUCUUUCCAACAGGAAACCUUUCUCAAUGAGAGGGUAAAGGUCAAUGGCAAGACAGGAAAUCUGGCAAAUGUAGUCGAGAUCAACCUUCUGAAAAACAAGCUCCACGUCACAGAACCAGCUUUCCAAGAGGUACCUGAAGAAGAACAACCUCCGUGAUUGGUUGAGAGUCGUGUUGUCAAACAAGGAGACUUACGAGCUGAGAUACUUCCAGAUCAGCCAGGAAAAGGACAAUGGCGAGUAGAGCCAAGCUCCGCCCACCUGCCCCAGCAUGCAGGACUGGAGACUGGCCAGUCCAUCACACUUGCCACUUGUUUGUGAGAGGGAAAGUCUUCUGUGAGAGACAUUUGUAUUUGUCAGUGGAUAGACUGUAAACUUCAGUGUGUCAUCAUGUCUCUAGUUUUGAUGGGAGAAUAAAUUAGAUCAACAAAACA
Oncorhynchus nerka (sockeye salmon) is the source of this 1511-nucleotide long non-coding RNA. RefSeq lists it as uncharacterized. The record is from RefSeq and is a predicted model, not a curated record. NCBI's taxonomy places the organism in Eukaryota, Metazoa, Chordata, Actinopteri, Salmoniformes, Salmonidae. The transcript has 3 exons.